Molecule: unclassified non-coding RNA, 301 nt
Filed under: Gymnaconitum gymnandrum
Lineage: Eukaryota; Viridiplantae; Streptophyta; Magnoliopsida; Ranunculales; Ranunculaceae
Description: partial contains external transcribed spacer and 18S ribosomal RNA
Source: RNAcentral
GACUCAAGCGACCGAUCGGCUGGACGAGUCCAGCGAACGCGCAGCUUGAGCACAACAGUCGGUCGUUUUAGCCACAAAUGGAACGAACGGGCAGACAACCCGAAACUCUUCGUGUGUUCCACAUCCCCGARCAAAGUGUUGCCCCAUUAACCACGCGCACGGUUUAAAAACCAAUGCCUGGCUUCACAAGACACACUAACGAGUUGCCCACAACCGAUUCUAAGACCGGCCGAGGGCAAAAAUAACAAAUGAUGUCGCUUGCCAAUUUGUUUCUAUGGUAAGCAACACAGGAAUACCGAAA